Molecule: long non-coding RNA, 163 nt
Organism: Neolamprologus brichardi
Lineage: Eukaryota; Metazoa; Chordata; Actinopteri; Cichliformes; Cichlidae
Source: RefSeq, a predicted model, not a curated record
CGAUGACACACUCAAAACAAGUACUGAGCUCCAAUAGACAGUGGUUCAACACUGACAGAGGAUUCACGACUGCAGGCAGACAUUUACCUUGACAUUGGCAUCAUCACUGCUGUUGUCAUUGUGGCUGUGAUUGUCUUUGCCUUGAUAGGAAUGGCUGAGCAGC